ACAUGCAAGUCGAACGAACUCUGGUAUUGAUUGGUGCUUGCAUCAUGAUUUACAUUUGAGUGAGUGGCGAACUGGUGAGUAACACGUGGGAAACCUGCCCAGAAGCGGGGGAUAACACCUGGAAACAGAUGCUAAUACCGCAUAACAACUUGGACCGCAUGGUCCGAGCUUGAAAGAUGGCUUCGGCUAUCACUUUUGGAUGGUCCCGCGGCGUAUUAGCUAGAUGGUGGGGUAACGGCUCACCAUGGCAAUGAUACGUAGCCGACCUGAGAGGGUAAUCGGCCACAUUGGGACUGAGACACGGCCCAAACUCCUACGGGAGGCAGCAGUAGGGAAUCUUCCACAAUGGACGAAAGUCUGAUGGAGCAACGCCGCGUGAGUGAAGAAGGGUUUCGGCUCGUAAAACUCUGUUGUUAAAGAAGAACAUAUCUGAGAGUAACUGUUCAGGUAUUGACGGUAUUUAACCAGAAAGCCACGGCUAACUACGUGCCAGCAGCCGCGGUAAUACGUAGGUGGCAAGCGUUGUCCGGAUUUAUUGGGCGUAAAGCGAGCGCAGGCGGUUUUUUAAGUCUGAUGUGAAAGCCUUCGGCUCAACCGAAGAAGUGCAUCGGAAACUGGGAAACUUGAGUGCAGAAGAGGACAGUGGAACUCCAUGUGUAGCGGUGAAAUGCGUAGAUAUAUGGAAGAACACCAGUGGCGAAGGCGGCUGUCUGGUCUGUAACUGACGCUGAGGCUCGAAAGUAUGGGUAGCAAACAGGAUUAGAUACCCUGGUAGUCCAUACCGUAAACGAUGAAUGCUAAGUGUUGGAGGGUUUCCGCCCUUCAGUGCUGCAGCUAACGCAUUAAGCAUUCCGCCUGGGGAGUACGGCCGCAAGGCUGAAACUCAAAGGAAUUGACGGGGGCCCGCACAAGCGGUGGAGCAUGUGGUUUAAUUCGAAGCUACGCGAAGAACCUUACCAGGUCUUGACAUACUAUGCAAAUCUAAGAGAUUAGACGUUCCCUUCGGGGACAUGGAUACAGGUGGUGCAUGGUUGUCGUCAGCUCGUGUCGUGAGAUGUUGGGUUAAGUCCCGCAACGAGCGCAACCCUUAUUAUCAGUUGCCAGCAUUAAGUUGGGCACUCUGGUGAGACUGCCGGUGACAAACCGGAGGAAGGUGGGGAUGACGUCAAAUCAUCAUGCCCCUUAUGACCUGGGCUACACACGUGCUACAAUGGAUGGUACAACGAGUUGCGAACUCGCGAGAGUAAGCUAAUCUCUUAAAGCCAUUCUCAGUUCGGAUUGUAGGCUGCAACUCGCCUACAUGAAGUCGGAAUCGCUAGUAAUCGCGGAUCAGCAUGCCGCGGUGAAUACGUUCCCGGGCCUUGUACACACCGCCCGUCACACCAUGAGAGUUUGUAACACCCAAAGUCGGUGGGGUAACCUUUUAGGAACCAGCC
RNAcentral lists this ribosomal RNA (1436 nucleotides) under Lactiplantibacillus plantarum. Its description in RNAcentral is "bacterial SSU rRNA". It matches the Rfam family "Bacterial small subunit ribosomal RNA". The record is from RNAcentral. Lineage: Bacteria; Bacillati; Bacillota; Bacilli; Lactobacillales; Lactobacillaceae.